UCGGCCUACAACACAUUGAUCGAAGUCAACUCUCAGGCUCUAUUGCUCUUGCACGACUCUCCUUUUCCCCUUCCUCUUCUCUAUUCCACGGAAAAACGUCUCCGAUUCAGCUUACCUCCGGCGUUGCUGCACACCGGAGCGACUUCGUCUCGGUCCUAGAGUUCUCUGCUGAUUACCCGCCGCUGAUGCGCCCUUGCAGCAAGACUCCCAUCCAGGUGUACCAGAAUUCGUUUUGGUCAUGUUGUUGGCCAUAUAUAUAUGAGGUCCUGUGCGAUGUUCUCACCAACAAUGCUAUGGAUAUGAACAAAUCUUCAAUUCUCGGCUUGACGCUGUAACAAACCAACGACAUAAUAAUAUAUAAAGAACAACCACAAGAUCUACAGAAAUGGGAAGGUCAUAGGUAAGAGGAGCCAAGAGACGAUGACAUCAGUAACCAAAUUCAGGCAAUGGUGAAUAUGAUAAGCCAAUGUUUCUACAUGCAUAUUGAUGUCACUUUCACAAUUGUUAGCCCCUAAUUUUGCUAUUAUGCCAUGCAUUGUGUCACUUAGUUAUUUGUUCAGCGGGUUCUGCUAUUUUCAGCUUAUUGCAGAAAACUGAUGCAGUAUAUACAUACUUCGAAGAACUUGGCUCACCCUCGGUCUAAUGUGUUUUCAAACCUUGCCAUUUUAUUGCUUGAGCCAUAAGGAUUGACCUUUCUUACGUCAUUUUAAUAUUGGAGCCCCUAGAAGUUUGAUUCCGUAUCCAAUACUUCAUGGAGUAUUCAUUCUAAUAUUUGUAGAUAAAUUAUUGUUUUCUUUCAUCUAUGGAUCGAUCCCACGAAGAGAAAUAUAUGUGUACUCAUUAUCAUUUUUUCUGCCAUUUGAUCUUCUCAGGAUAUUUGCAAGAGAA
Molecule: long non-coding RNA, 888 nt
Organism: Lolium perenne
Lineage: Eukaryota; Viridiplantae; Streptophyta; Magnoliopsida; Poales; Poaceae
Source: RefSeq, a predicted model, not a curated record